Long non-coding RNA from Gopherus flavomarginatus (Mexican gopher tortoise), 3279 nucleotides. RefSeq lists it as uncharacterized. Lineage: Eukaryota; Metazoa; Chordata; Testudines; Testudinidae. The record is from RefSeq and is a predicted model, not a curated record. The transcript is spliced from 2 exons.
ACACCAGUGUGGGUGGAGCUACUGGGUCCUGUGCCCGCCCCUCAGGGUCACAGUGCAGACCCAGAAGUAUAAAAGCUCACCUGCAGAGCUCAGUGGAGAACCAGCCGCUGCAGAGACCAGAUGUCUGAGACCAAACUCCCUCGUGGGAGACAGCAGCAGGCUGCAGCUGGCCUGAGGUCAAACCGGGCCAGCUGAGCCUACCCCUCGCUUGGUACCCCAAGGAGGACUGGAUGGGCCUGCCCCCUCUCAGCUACCCCAAGGAGGAGCCGAGCCUGCCCCCUCUCAGCUACCCCGAGGAGGAGCCGAGCCUGCCCCUUGCCAGCUACCCCGAGGAGGAACCGAGCCUGCCCCUUGCCAGCUGCCCCGAGGAGGAGCCGAGCCUGCCCUUCGCUGCGUCCCCUGAGGAACCGAUGGUGUUCGAGACAGCCGAGGACGCUAGCACGACCCAGUAUUCCUUCGUUUUAAGUCUUUCCAGCAUUUGUGUACAUGUUUACAGUGGAAGAUUUCAAGCGUAGAUAAGCUACUUACUUAGAGCAGAAUAUUUCAAGUGUGGAUACGCUACAUAUUGACCAGAUAGAUCACUAUGAAGCGGAGAUUUGAAAGUGGCGCAAGCAAGAGAAAGCGAAAACAACUGAGUGAAGCAGCAGCUAAAGAGCUCAAAGCCAAUAACUUCAUUUCUCAAACCACUGGAAAACACACCUUACCCAACAAACAAUGCUACAGAUAAUGAAAACUCUGCAAUUGCAACAGGUGAUAUUUCAAUGCCAAUACCUGAAUAUGAGGACGGUAGUUAAGGAGGAGAUGUGCCAACAGUAACAGAUGCAGCAGAAGAUCCUGUGUACGAUCAAGAAACUCAACAGCAACAGGAAGAAGUAGAUCUUACGCAGCAAGAACAAUUCAUGAGUACUACAGGUUUGACUGACUGACACUGGAAUUAUUGACAAGAGCAAUGCUGCCCAAAUGAAGUCUUUUCUUCAAAUUAGUUGUUCUGAAAUUCCAAGUAACAUUCCACAAGAUGCUGAUAAUCCCACUUUCCCUACACAUCUGCUGACAUUCAAAAACUCUUCCAAAUGGUGAGAUCAGCAUAAGAGACUGGCGUAUAGAAAAACAAUCUCUGUACUGUGCACCGUGGUUCAUUUUGAACAAAAAAAAGCUACAAAUACAUCAGUUCUCUCUGAUCAAUCAGAAUGGAGCAUCAAGAGAGGUUGGAGGAAAUUGAAAGACCGAAUACUAUCAUAUGAGAGUUCAACGUCACACAAAGAAAACAAUGUUGCAUGGAAAGCAGCCAGUAGGGCAGCAUCAGCUGAAAGUUCAGUUGAGAAUUUACUCCUGACUGAACUCUCUACAGAAACUAAUAACUGGAAAAAGCUUCUUGAGCACAUCCUGAAUCUCAUCCUUUUUCUUUCUGAGCAGGGAUUGGCUUUCUUUGGUUCCAGUCAACUUAUUGGUGAUCGUGCAAAUGGAAACUUUCUAGGCAUAGUUGAGCUCCUCAGCAAAUACGACCCACUUUUAUCAGAGCAUAUUAAACAUGUUUGAGAAUUGCAAGAGUCAAAAGCACAUGCAAGUCCAUUAUGUCUUCACACACAUAAAAAACAAGUUUAUUGAGCUAUGUGGGUCAUUCGUACAAACAACAAUUUUUGAUGAGAUUCAAAAUGCCAAGUAUUUUCAAUCAUUGUUGAUGCCACUCCAGAUUGUUCUCACAAGGAACAGACUACUGUGGUUAUUCAAUAUGUUAAGAUUGUAGACAGCUCAAAAUUUUCAGUUGAAGAAAGGUUUAUUUUGUUUGAUAAUUUCAUGAGAAAAACUGAAAAAGAAAUUGCUGCUCAAAUACUAGCAAUUCUAGGGUCUUUAAGUUAGAUUUUCAAGUCUGCAUUGGUGAAGCUUAUGACAAUGGAUCUAAUAUGGCUGGGAAGUACAAAGAUGCUCAAGCAGAACUACUUGUACACAGUUCAAACUGAAUUUUCUCCAGCUGUGGAAACCACACACUAAACCUUGUAGGUGUUGACUGUGCUGAAUCAUGCAAGGAGGCAAUUACUUACUUUGGAACUGUUCAGCAAAUAUACAGUCUCUUCAGUAGCAGUCCAAAAAGGUGGGAAAUUCUGAAGCAAUAUCUUCCUGUUUCACUGUAUGGGAUGUCAAAAAACUAGAUGGUCUGCAUGGAUUGAUGGUGUUCAACCAGUUGUGCAUCAUUUGAAUUUAGUGAGAGAGGCUUUAAAUUAGCUUGAAUCUCUCUCUCAAUCUCACUGCACAGGCUCGAACGGAACUUCAGUCUAUUCAGAAGCAUGUGUCCAAAUUUGAAUGCAUUCUGAUGUCAUCUUUGUGGAUGAAACUACUUACAAUGAUUCACCAAACUCAUCUGGUAAUUGAAGCACACAAUGUUACACUUGAUGUUGAGAGGGAUAACAUUGAAAGUCUUAUCAAUGACAUUCAACAGAUUUGUGAACAAUGGGAUGCGAUCCUGACUGAAUCCAGAUUAGUAGCACAGAAUAUUGGCAUCUCAUCUGAGUUCACCAAUUGCAAUUUACCUACUGAAUCUGAUGCCGAGCAGCAUUAUAGGGUCAAUGUCUUCCUUGUCAUCACUGACUCUUCAAUGAGGUCUUACAUGUCGAUUUGAGUCACUGUGACUAAUUUGUACCCUUUUUGGGUUUCUUUGGCAGUUGAACAGACUGAGUAAUGAAGAUCUACUUUCUGCAGCUGAACAAUUUCAGCAACAGUACAAUGAAGAAAUCUCAAAAGAUCUUAGUGAUGAGGUCAUCUUCCUCAAACAAAUAUAUUCCAUGAACUUUAAAUUGGUUUGCAAGCCAAAGGAAUUGCUUCAAGAAAUUAUAGAAUAUCAGGGUCAGAAGGGACCUCAGGAGGUUCUCUAGUUCAACCCCCUGCUCAGAGUAGGACUAAUCCUCAGACAGAUUUUUGCCCUGGAUCCCUCAAUGGCUCCCUUAAGGAUUGAAGUCACAACCCUGGGUUUAACAGGCCAAUGCUCAAACCAUGGAGCUAUCCCUCCCCUCCUUAGAUGGUCCGGGGUGUUUCCUAAUAUCACAAUUGCAUUGUGUAUUGUUGUCAGUUUGCCUGCAUUAGUGGCUUCAGGUGAAUGCAUCUUCAGUGUGUUGAAGCAGGUAAAGAACUAUCACUAUUCAGCUAUGGGACAGGAGCAUUUGAAUGGGCUCAUCAUGCUUAAUAGCAACUGUGACAUUGCACGAAAGCUAGAUUUUUCCUCAACAAUUAGUGCAUUUGCACAGAAAAAGGCUAGAAAAGCAUUCGUUACAUAAAAAAAUAUUCACA